UAGGGAAUCUUCCACAAUGGACGCAAGUCUGAUGGAGCAACGCCGCGUGAGUGAAGAAGGUUUUCGGAUCGUAAAGCUCUGUUGUUGGUGAAGAAGGAUAGAGGUAGUAACUGGCCUUUAUUUGACGGUAAUCAACCAGAAAGUCACGGCUAACUACGUGCCAGCAGCCGCGGUAAUACGUAGGUGGCAAGCGUUGUCCGGAUUUAUUGGGCGUAAAGCGAGCGCAGGCGGAAGAAUAAGUCUGAUGUGAAAGCCCUCGGCUUAACCGAGGAACUGCAUCGGAAACUGUUUUUCUUGAGUGCAGAAGAGGAGAGUGGAAUUCCAUGUGUAGCGGUGGAAUGCGUAGAUAUAUGGAAGAACACCAGUGGCGAAGGCGACUCUCUGGUCUGCAACUGACGCUGAGGCUCGAAAGCAUGGAUAGCGAACAGG
This 429-nucleotide ribosomal RNA is filed under the name bacterium. RNAcentral's name for it is "partial 16S ribosomal RNA". It matches the Rfam family "Bacterial small subunit ribosomal RNA", at positions 355 to 776 of the family's 1533-position model. The record is from RNAcentral.